UUCCUAUCUACAUUGAAAGCGUCAUCGUCGGCACCACCGACCUCAUCAUUGUUGGUGCAAGAGCAAGACCCUCUCAGUGGAUCCUUUUCUUCUCCGUAACAGCCUCUCUCGUAUAUCUUUUCUCUAUCUGUUUGGUUUCAAAAAAGAAGGUAAAGAAAAAGAUUAGCUGCCAAGAAGUUAAAAAGCAAAGGAAAAUUGUGGCCUUCAAACUACCAUGUCUCUCAAUAAAUGGAAGGACACAGAAAGCAGGAGAAGAAAUUGAACAAAAUCAUCGCGAGAUCAACAAACUUUCUGGCGAUAAACACUGCUUGAAUCCACAAUAAAACACCUCACAAUCCACG
This 341-nucleotide long non-coding RNA is filed under the name Populus tremula. Its description in RNAcentral is "long non-coding RNA (PTRE_LNC001889)". The record is from RNAcentral. Lineage: Eukaryota; Viridiplantae; Streptophyta; Magnoliopsida; Malpighiales; Salicaceae.